RNAcentral lists this ribosomal RNA (321 nucleotides) under uncultured Cercozoa. Its description in RNAcentral is "bacterial SSU rRNA". The stretch from base 49 to 321 matches the Rfam family "Eukaryotic small subunit ribosomal RNA", at positions 681 to 955 of the family's 1831-position model. The record is from RNAcentral. Lineage: Eukaryota; Cercozoa.
GAUUUCUGCUUUUGCAUGCCUAGCCCGUGUGGGUUUCCACAUGUGUGCUUUAGCCUGCUUAGCAUCCUUUCCGAACAGGUCAUCGCUAUUCAUUUAGUGUGUGGCUCAGUCGGAAUCUAUUACUUAGAAGAAAUUAGAGUGUUCAAGGCAAGCGUUUGCUGUGAAUAUUGUAGCUUGGAAUAAUAACUUAGGACAUUCGUUCUAUUUUGUUGGUUUCACGUACGAAUGUAAUGAUUGAUAGGGAUAGUUGGGGGUGCUAGUAUAUCCUGGCCAGAGGUGAAAUUCUUGGAUUCAGGAUCGACUAACUUAUGCGAAAGCAUU